UACAGAGGGGGCAAGCGUUAUUCGGAAUUAUUGGGCGUAAAGGGCGCGUAGGCGGCCUGGCAAGUGGAAGGUGAAAUCCCUCGGCUUAACCGAGGAACUGCCUCCCAAACUGCUUGGCUUGAGACCGGGAGAGGUGAGUGGAAUUCCCAGUGUAGCGGUGAAAUGCGUAGAUAUUGGGAGGAACACCAGUGGCGAAGGCGGCUCACUGGAUCGGUACUGACGCUGAGGCGCGAAAGCGUGGGGAGCGAACAGG
Molecule: ribosomal RNA, 253 nt
Filed under: uncultured bacterium
Lineage: Bacteria
Description: partial 16S ribosomal RNA
Rfam family: Bacterial small subunit ribosomal RNA
Source: RNAcentral